RNAcentral lists this long non-coding RNA (702 nucleotides) under Strix occidentalis caurina (northern spotted owl). Its description in RNAcentral is "lncRNA (ENSSOCG00000016900.1)". Lineage: Eukaryota; Metazoa; Chordata; Aves; Strigiformes; Strigidae. The record is from RNAcentral.
UUCCCUUUGGUAAUUAAUCCCACUAUUUUAUCUUAUACCAUUGCUUUUCUUCUACUCACCACAAUGAGUAAUAUAUAGACAAAUGUAUGCAGCAGCAGUCUGUGUCUCUUCUUCCUUAUUGUGCCUUGCUGUUGCUCUCCUAUUAGCUGUAGCUGUGCAGUCGUCUAGACACAGUGUGACAGGAACUUGAUUACCUUGAUAGCAGGUACAGAUGCAGCUUUAGCACUUGCUGUCUGCCUCACGUUUGUAACACCCUCGCUCCUUCCGGUCACUUGUUCCAGGGGAGGAAUGACAGCAGCAUUUCUGAGCUGUUCUUGUGUUUUCUCCCAGAACACUCAGGGAAAGCAGACUUCGUGAUCUCCAUGCUAACUACCAGCCUGCCCGCUGCCAGUUCUCCCUACUUCUGCCAGUGAUGACAUUCAGCUCGCUCCUCCACACAGGAUACAGCACUGAUUCCUCAUUAUGUAAGGCAGUCUAGGUCAAGUGUAGGAGAGGCACUGCUGGCCUGAGCAAGCUAGUGGAUUGCUCCCUCAGCUUCAUGCUUCAUGGGGUCUGGAAGCUGGAUCCUGAUCUUUGCUACAUCUUCUUGGCACAAGAAAUUUGCCAGGUGGACAUCAAGCUCUUUCAGCAUCUUUUCUAAAAUGGAUUUCUUCUCUGCUGCUUGUCUGAGUAUUUUCCUAUGCAGAAGAGUAAAUGGUAAUU